This 255-nucleotide long non-coding RNA is filed under the name Capsella rubella. RNAcentral's name for it is "long non-coding RNA (CRUB_LNC003724)". The stretch from base 14 to 106 matches the Rfam family "MIR173 microRNA precursor family". Lineage: Eukaryota; Viridiplantae; Streptophyta; Magnoliopsida; Brassicales; Brassicaceae. The record is from RNAcentral.
UUGCGUUGGUGACUAAGCACCUUCGCUUGCAGAGAGAAAUCACAGUGUGGUCAAAAGCUUCAAAGUCUCUUUCCUCUGUGAUUCUCUGUGCUAGCGGAAGAGCUUGCUCCUCCAACCUUAUCUCUCACUCGAUGUCUCUAAAUUCAUGUCCAUGAGCUUAUAUGUUUUGAAAUCUUCGUAAUUCUGAAUGUUCGUUUUGAGUUUAUGUUCAUAGGAAGGGUAAUGAUAAUGUUUUAUUAAUUUGUUGGUAACAGA